RNAcentral lists this ribosomal RNA (466 nucleotides) under uncultured bacterium. Its description in RNAcentral is "partial 16S ribosomal RNA". It matches the Rfam family "Bacterial small subunit ribosomal RNA", at positions 28 to 507 of the family's 1533-position model. The record is from RNAcentral.
GACGAACGCUGGCGGCGCGCCUAACACAUGCAAGUCGAACGAGCGAGAGAGAGCUUGCUUUCUCGAGCGAGUGGCGAACGGGUGAGUAACGCGUGAGGAACCUGCCUCAAAGAGGGGGACAACAGUUGGAAACGACUGCUAAUACCGCAUAAGCCCACGACCCGGCAUCGGGUAGAGGGAAAAGGAGCAAUCCGCUUUGAGAUGGCCUCGCGUCCGAUUAGCUAGUUGGUGAGGUAACGGCCCACCAAGGCGACGAUCGGUAGCCGGACUGAGAGGUUGAACGGCCACAUUGGGACUGAGACACGGCCCAGACUCCUACGGGAGGCAGCAGUGGGGAAUAUUGCACAAUGGGGGAAACCCUGAUGCAGCGACGCCGCGUGAAGGAUGAAGGUCUUCGGAUUGUAAACUCCUGUUGUUGAGGAAGAUAAUGACGGUACUCAAAAAGGAAGUGACGGCUAACUACGUG